UCCACCUUUCCUCCAUCUCAAAGGUGCUCAAAUGUUUGACAAAAGGUGACCGGUAGAUGGACCAAUAUUGAGGCACUUACUAGAGGAAACUCAGGACACUUUCUCACUGUCCUGCAGUCGUACAAUCUUGCAAAGCUCAAGUGAUGUGAGCAAGGAAAGGGAAAAAAAUUUAUUUAAAGGGAGAAUUAGCCAAGAGGAAAAAUUUCUUCCUAAACCAUAUGAUAUCUUAAAGGAAGAGGAAAUUCAAUCUCAUUCCUUAAAGAACUAAUCCCACGGUUUAGGAAAGAUAUGGAUAACAUUUUUACUCUUUUAAUGACAAGCCAUAAUUUACCAUAUUUAUUUCCCCCAAUUUCUCUACAAUUGAUUAAAAUAUUCGCUUUUAAAGAGAUAAGAUCUUAUUCAAAGUUUUCUUAAUUUUCAUUAUUUUUUCAUUCAAUGUGAUUUAAUUUUCAUGUAAUUUUUUACCAUUAAUUUAGCAGAUUUAUUUCUUUGUAAUGCACAUGACAUACUCUAUAACUAAGUUUUCAAUUCACAAUUGUAAUCAUUCAAGUUUGAGAAUAAUAAAAUUAUGAAAUUUUAGUUUUCAACUAGUUAGGUUUCGUCAACCUUCUUGUUGAGUGAGAAUUGAUUUAACUUAUCAAACUAAAUUCUUGUGGUGUUUUAUCAAUUUUCUUUCGAAUUGAUUUCUAACUUAUCAAGUCCAUACUUGUGAUUUUUUAAUCAAUUUUAACUAUCUCAAUUACCUUGGUUGACAUUCACAUAUUUGAAUGUAGGUCAAGUAGGGAGCGUUUGUUGAAAGUUUUAUGAUACUGAAUACUGAUGUUAUAUGUGGGGUUCUUAAUCGUGUUAAUUGAUCCUAAGUUCCGUAUUAUCAUGGUAACAGGUGGG
RNAcentral lists this long non-coding RNA (888 nucleotides) under Carica papaya (papaya). RNAcentral describes it as "long non-coding RNA (CPAP_LNC013322)". Lineage: Eukaryota; Viridiplantae; Streptophyta; Magnoliopsida; Brassicales; Caricaceae. The record is from RNAcentral.